GACGAACGCUGGCGGCGUGCUUAACACAUGCAAGUCGAACGGAAAGGCCCUGCUUUUGUGGGGUGCUCGAGUGGCGAACGGGUGAGUAACACGUGAGUAACCUGCCCUUGACUUUGGGAUAACUUCAGGCAACUGGGGCUAAUACCGGAUAGGAGCUCCUGCUGCAUGGUGGGGGUUGGAAAGUUUCGGCGGUUGGGGAUGGACUCGCGGCUUAUCAGCUUGUUGGUGGGGUAGUGGCUUACCAAGGCUUUGACGGGUAGCCGGCCUGAGAGGGUGACCGGCGACAUUGGGACUGAGAUACGGCGCAGACUCCUACGGGAGGCAGCAGUGGGGAAUAUUGCACAAUGGGCGGAAGCCUGAUGCAGCAACGCCGCGUGCGGGAUGACGGCCUUCGGGUUGUAAACCGCUUUCGCCUGUGACGAAGCGUGAGUGACGGUAAUGGGUAAAGAAGCACCGGCUAACUACGUG
This 468-nucleotide ribosomal RNA is filed under the name uncultured bacterium. RNAcentral's name for it is "partial 16S ribosomal RNA". It matches the Rfam family "Bacterial small subunit ribosomal RNA", at positions 28 to 507 of the family's 1533-position model. The record is from RNAcentral.